Molecule: long non-coding RNA, 233 nt
Filed under: Mytilus galloprovincialis (Mediterranean mussel)
Lineage: Eukaryota; Metazoa; Mollusca; Bivalvia; Mytilida; Mytilidae
Source: RNAcentral
UAUCAAUUUUAGAUUCUUAAUUUAUUAUUUUUCACCUUACCUCACCUAAGUACAUCCUUAAAUAUCUUUAUUUUAAAUAUCUUGGUAUUAUGUUGCCAUAAAGCUGAUUAUUGUACUUCGUUUUAAUUUAAUUAUUGUCGGCAUAUGAAAUACACUAGAUAUAUUAAAUACAGGUGGAAUGAACAUACAUAUAUGAAAUGGCAUAACAACACAAAAUAAAUGCUUAGUUUCUC